CUCGUAGGCGGUUCAGUAAGUCGGUCGUGAAAGCCCGGGGCUCAACCCCGGGACGCCGAUCGAAACUGCUGUGACUAGGGUUCGGUAGAGGAGAGUGGAAUUCCCGGUGUAGCGGUGAAAUGCGCAGAUAUCGGGAGGAACACCAGUAGCGAAGGCGGCUCUCUGGGCCGAUACCGACGCUGAGGAGCGAAAGCUAGGGGAGCAAACAGGAUUAGAUACCCUGGUAGUCC
RNAcentral lists this ribosomal RNA (230 nucleotides) under uncultured bacterium. RNAcentral describes it as "partial 16S ribosomal RNA". It matches the Rfam family "Bacterial small subunit ribosomal RNA", at positions 568 to 796 of the family's 1533-position model. The record is from RNAcentral.